Molecule: long non-coding RNA, 1908 nt
Filed under: Callithrix jacchus (white-tufted-ear marmoset)
Lineage: Eukaryota; Metazoa; Chordata; Mammalia; Primates; Cebidae
Description: lncRNA (ENSCJAG00000070331.1)
Source: RNAcentral
AUGCUUCCUGACCCAGCAAUCUCAUUACUGGGUGUACACCCAGAGGUAUAUAAAUCAUCCCAUCCUAAAGACACGUGCGCAUGUGUGUUCACUGCAGCACUAUUCAUAGUAGCAAACACAUGGAAUCAACCUCAAUGCCCACCAGCAGAAUGGAUAAAGUGGUGUGUGUGUGCGUGUGUGUGUGUAUACACACACACGCACACACACACCACACACACAUACCACACACACCACACACACAUACCACACACACCACACACACACACCACACACCACACCACACACCACACACACCUCACACACCACACACACACACCACACACACCACACACACACCACACACACACACCACACACCACACCACACACCACACACACACCACACACACACCACACACACACACCACACACACACACCACACACACACCACACACACCACACACACACACCACACACCACACCACACACCACACACACACACCACACACACACCACAGACACACACCACACACCACACACACACACCACACACACACCACACACACACACCACACACACACACCACACACACACCACACACACCACACACACACACCACACACCACACCACACACCACACACACACACCACACACACACCACAGACACACACCACACACCACACACACACACCACACACACAUACCACACACCACACACACCACACACACCUCACACACCACACACACACACCACACACCACACCACACACCACACACACACACCACACACACACACCACAGACACACACCACACACCACACACACACACCACACACACACACCACACACCACACCACACACCACAGACACACACCACACCACACACCACACACACACACCACACACACACACACCACACACCACACCACACACCACACACACACCACACACCACACACACACCACACACCACACACACACAGCACACACCACACACACCACACACACACCACACACCACACACACACACCACACACACAUACCACACACACCACACACACCACACACACACACCACACACCACACCACACACCACAGACACACACCACACACACACACCACACACACCACACACACACCACACACACACACCACACACACAUACCACACACACCACACACACCACACACACACACCACACACCACACCACACACCACACACACCACACACACACACCACACACACAUACCACACACACCACACACACCACACACACACACCACACACCACACACACACCACACACACACACACCACACACCACACCACACACCACACACACACCACACACCACACACACACACCACACACCACACACACCACACACACACCACACACCACACACACACACCACACACACAUACCACACACACCACACACACACACCACACACCACACCACACACCACAGACACACCACACACACACACCACACACACCACACACACACCACACACACACACCACACACCACACACACCACACACACACACCACACACACCACACACACACCACACACACACCACACACCACACCACACACCACACACACACCACACACCACACACACACACACAGCACACACCACACACACCACACACACACACCACACACCACACACACACACCACACACACAUACCACACACCACACACACCACACACACCUCACACACCACACACACACACACACCACACACCACACACAGACACACACACACACCACACACACACACAUACCAUGGAAUACCAUGCAGCUAUAAAAAGAAACAAAACCAUGUCCUUUGUAGGGACAUGGAUGGAGCUGGAGCCCAUUAUUCUCAGCAAAGUAACACAGGAACAGAAACCAGAUACCACAUGUUCUCACUUAUAA